UCAGUCGGCCGGACGGCCGUUCCCGCAAGUGCCGAAAGGCCGCGGGAGAGGAAAGUCCGGGCUCCAUCGACAUGCGGUGCCGGAUAACAUCCGGCGGGGGUGACCCCAGGGAAAGUGCCACAGAGAACGAACCGCUCCCUCCUCGGAGGAAGUAAGGGUGAAAAGGUGCGGUAAGAGCGCACCGCGUUUCCGGCAACGGCGACGGCAUGGCAAACCCCACCGGGAGCAAAACCGAAUAGGGACGGCAACGCGGUCAGUUCGCGACAUCGCGAUAACACCGCAGGGCGAUGUCAGGCCCGCUGUCCGGGUAGGUUGCUCGAGGCAAGGUGCAAACCUUGUCCCAGAGGAAUGGCCGUCACGUACCAUUCGCGAGAAUGGUGCCCUACAGAACCCGGCUUACAGGCCGGCUGAUGCU
Molecule: RNase P RNA, 415 nt
Filed under: Bradyrhizobium sp. ISRA435
Lineage: Bacteria; Pseudomonadati; Pseudomonadota; Alphaproteobacteria; Hyphomicrobiales; Nitrobacteraceae
Also listed under: 3 other names
Description: RNase P RNA component class A
Rfam family: Bacterial RNase P class A
About the family: Ribonuclease P (RNase P) is a ubiquitous endoribonuclease, found in archaea, bacteria and eukarya as well as chloroplasts and mitochondria.
Source: RNAcentral